GCAAGAGAAAGCGUUGCGUAGUACACUUAAAAUGUAAGGCGCCAAAUUUUGCGUGGUAUUUAAAUGAAAGGCGUUGGUUUUUCCCAGUCCACCCAUUUUUGUCGUGCGAAUAUGUUGCUUUUGUGAUAAACCUUUCUCUGUCUCUCGCUCUUAUCGAAGAAGCAGCAGAAAAUGGGUUUCGCGAUGCAAUGCUCAAGCUAUGGCACUUGUAUUUCUAUUUGUGUCCCUCAUCGAUUCCCCCAAACCCCUCUAUCUUUUCACGCUUAUCACUGGAACCGAUUCAAGAGUGCGCGAAAGAAUCAGAGGAUGAUGGUUCUUUGUAGCGUGGACGACCGGAGCAACAACCUAGGUUCCCAGAGGAAAAGAAAAAUUGUGGAACACGUUUGUCUCCUCAAAGCAAAGCAGGAUUUAUCUGAAGACGAAGAGAACGACAUGCUUGAUUACUUGUACACAACGCAGUACCAAAUGGGUGGUGUUGUUGCAAUUUCAUUAGGGCGCAUUUCUGCUCCAAAUCCUGAGCGCUACACGCAUGCUCUCUUUAUGCGGUUUCAGAAGAAGGAAAACCUUGAAAAGUUUUAUGAUAAUCCCUUUUACUUGAAGGUUCUCAAGGACCAUGUAAUGACUUACUGCCAUGGAUUGACUAAUGUGGAUUAUGAAUCGGAAGUGGCAGACGAAAUGCUUUCCAUAUUUCGCAAAGGAGAGGAGUUCAACCAUGGAGUGGAGUUUGUGCUUCUGAUAUCAUUUAAUGAGGAUGCACUGGGUAACCAGGCAGAGCAUGCAUUAGCCUCUCUGGCAUCAAUGAUGUUGGAAUCUCCUUCCUUGAUAGUCCAAUUUACACAUGGUUUGAAUUUUAGUCCAAGCUCUAAGGAAUAUACUCAUGGAGUUGUGAUUCGAUUUCGAUCAGUUGAGGCAUUUGAGAUAUUUAUAAACAGCAAAGAGUACAAAAAUGCAUGGCAUUAUAAGUUCCAGCCUAUUGUCCACAAAUCUUUUUCUCUUCACUUCUCUGUUGAUCCAGUGGGAACUGAAAUUAUGUAGUGAGGAUGGUUUGUGGUUUUCAAGAAUAGAUGCGGCUUGGUUUCCACUUUUUAGAAACAAGAAUGAAGGUCAUCUUGUUGGAAUUAUUUCAUUCUGAUGAAUCAGAUAGCUUUGAGAAUUGCCGAGACGAUACAAUUUAGGUACUGCUGUAUUAAACUUGAGCUUCAGAUGGAUAAAAACUGAGCUUUUAAAUUAUGUUGUCCAAGAAAGCAAGAGUCCUCUUUGGUCCUUUUACUCUGGUGGAGUGCCAACUAAAAAUACUGCUUAAAAAAAGGAUGAGACCGUUGACUUCUCUAUCAAUUGGGUCUCUUAUGCCGCUCAUUUAGAGUUUUGAUAAUUUAAUUGUGUGAUAAUAAUUGUGAAGACUUGUGAGGGCUUUCAUAUACACUGUCCCUGGAUUAGAAUGACAGCUAGUGCUGGUGCCUAUUUUCCGAUUCAAAUUUUGUCUUUCCUCAUGUGCUCUGGCCUCUAAUCUGUUAUUAAUUAGAUACUCAGAUGCGAUAUUAAACUA
Molecule: RNA transcript, 1546 nt
Organism: Glycine soja
Lineage: Eukaryota; Viridiplantae; Streptophyta; Magnoliopsida; Fabales; Fabaceae
Exons: 11
Source: RefSeq, a predicted model, not a curated record